Molecule: ribosomal RNA, 253 nt
Filed under: uncultured bacterium
Lineage: Bacteria
Description: partial 16S ribosomal RNA
Rfam family: Bacterial small subunit ribosomal RNA
Source: RNAcentral
UACGUAGGGAGCAAGCGUUGUCCGGAAUCAUUGGGCGUAAAGCGCACGUAGGCGGUUUGUUAAGUCGGGUGUGAAAGCCCUGGGCUCAACCCAGGAAGUGCACUCGAAACUAGCAGGCUUGAGUAUGGAAGAGGGUCGCGGAAUUCCCGGUGUAGAGGUGAAAUUCGUAGAUAUCGGGAGGAACACCAGUGGCGAAGGCGGCGACCUGGGCCAAUACUGACGCUGAGGUGCGAAAGCGUGGGGAGCAAACAGG